This 504-nucleotide ribosomal RNA is filed under the name uncultured bacterium. RNAcentral describes it as "bacterial SSU rRNA". It matches the Rfam family "Bacterial small subunit ribosomal RNA", at positions 28 to 523 of the family's 1533-position model. The record is from RNAcentral.
GACGAACGCUGGCGGCGUGGAUUAGGCAUGCAAGUCGAACGGUAUCAUCCUUUCGGGGGUGAGAGAGUGGCGAACUGGUGAGUAACACGUAGGUUAUCUACCCUCAAGACGGGGACAACCCAGGGAAACUUGGGCUAAUACCGGAUGUGAGCAACUUUUAGUUGUUUGAAAGGUGGCGUAAGCUGUCGCUUGGGGAUGAGCCUGCGUCCUAUUAGUUAGUUGGUGAGGUAACGGCUCACCUAGGCAAUGAUAGGUAGGCGGCCUUAACGGGUGGUCGCCCACACUGGGAUUGAGAUACGGCCCAGACUCCUACGGGAGGCAGCAGUCGAGAAUAGUCUACAAUGGUCGGAAGACUGAUAGUGCGACGCCGCGUGAACGAUGAAUCCCUUCGGGGUGUAAAAGUUCUUUUAUAUGUGAGCAGUGCUUCUUAUAUUAACAGUAUGGGGAAGAGAUAUUAGCAUAUGAAUAAGCAACGGCUAAACUCCGUGCCAGCAGCCGCGGUAA